GCCGGUGCCCGAUUGAGAACCGGUUUUUCAUGUUUCGACUGCCAGCGAACCAGCUCCCAGCCGGGAAAACUGGUUCCAGAGCGGCUCCAACUCUUUGCUGGACCAGAACCGCGAACCGCUUACGUCAAGGGCGGGGGGCGGGGUUACCGUGGCCAAAAACACAAACCAAACAAUGCGGGCUAGGGUACAGACCUUCAUGCCGACUCACCAGGGCCUAUAACUCCAUAGCGAUCAUGGAGUCGAUGGUGGAUGAGUCGCUCAACAUCCAGAGCUCUACCGAUAAUGAGUUGUCUGCAAUCAAAGAUGCUGAGGUGGACUUGACGCUGCCGCCACCUUUGACCUGCAGCUCACCCUCACCAUCGAGCGGAUGAGCGAGAGGAGAGACAGAUGUUUUAAAACAAAAUGUACUGUAAUCUACAUGAUUUUAGUUAAUAAGCAACUUGCAUAUGGUGCCAAAACUACAUGUACACAACUCGUAACUUGUUUAUUUUGCACAUAUGCGGGUCCCUCCUUCACCAGUACUGCAAAUGUAGGUCCUUCCCCCAUCAGCACUAAAAAAAACAACUCCAAGCGAUCAAAAUGAUUCCUGCAUACCACCAUAUGUGAGGUCCAUCUUUAUGAGGCAGGACAAGAUUGAAGAUUCUCUCUCUACUAUAAAGACCAUUGUAAUGAAAGAUGUGAGGUCUGCUGACCCUGAGACUGAGGAGCUCACCAGUCCACUAAAGAUUUCAACAGAUAAAAUAUGAUGUAAAACAAA
Notolabrus celidotus (New Zealand spotty) is the source of this 757-nucleotide long non-coding RNA. RefSeq lists it as uncharacterized. The record is from RefSeq and is a predicted model, not a curated record. Lineage: Eukaryota; Metazoa; Chordata; Actinopteri; Labriformes; Labridae. The transcript is spliced from 3 exons.